Molecule: ribosomal RNA, 254 nt
Filed under: uncultured bacterium
Lineage: Bacteria
Description: partial 16S ribosomal RNA
Rfam family: Bacterial small subunit ribosomal RNA
Source: RNAcentral
GACGUAGGGCACGAGCGUUGUCCGGAUUUAUUGGGCGUAAAGAGCUCGUAGGCGGCUUGUCGCGUCGACUGUGAAAACCCGCGGCUCAACUGGGGAGGGUCACGCGAUACUGAUCGACUCGAAGGCAGGAGAGGGUAGUGGAAUUCCCGGUGUAGUGGUGAAAUGCGUAGAUAUCGGGAGGAACACCAGUGGCGAAGGCGACUACCUGGCCUGUUUCUUGACGCUGAGGCGCGAAAGCUAGGGGAGCAAACGGG